Molecule: ribosomal RNA, 253 nt
Filed under: uncultured bacterium
Lineage: Bacteria
Description: partial 16S ribosomal RNA
Rfam family: Bacterial small subunit ribosomal RNA
Source: RNAcentral
UACGUAGGGGGCUAGCGUUGUCCGGAUUUAUUGGGCGUAAAGAGCGUGUAGGCGGCCAGGUAGGUCUGCUGUGAAAACUCGAGGCUCAACCUCGAGACGUCGGCGGAAACCAUCUGGCUAGAGUCCGGAAGAGGAGAGUGGAAUUCCUGGUGUAGCGGUGAAAUGCGCAGAUAUCAGGAGGAACACCAGCGGCGAAGGCGGUGCUCUGGGCCGGAACUGACGCUGAGGAGCGAAAGCGUGGGGAGCGAACAGG